GACGAACGCUGGCGGCGUGCCUAAUACAUGCAAGUCGAGCGCAGGAAACUGACGGAACUCUUCGGAGGGAAGGCAGUGGAAUGAGCGGCGGACGGGUGAGUAACACGUAAGGAACCUGCCUCGAGGAUUGGGAUAACUCCGAGAAAUCGGAGCUAAUACCGGAUAGUUCAACGGACCGCAUGGUCCGCUGAUGAAAGGCGCUCCGGCGUCACCUUGAGAUGGCCUUGCGGUGCAUUAGCUAGUUGGUGGGGUAACGGCCCACCAAGGCGACGAUGCAUAGCCGACCUGAGAGGGUGAUCGGCCACACUGGGACUGAGACACGGCCCAGACUCCUACGGGAGGCAGCAGUAGGGAAUCUUCCACAAUAGACGAAAGUCUGAUGGAGCAACGCCGCGUGAGUGAUGAAGGUUUUCGGAUCGUAAAACUCUGUUGUAAGGGAAGAACACGUACGAGAGGGAAUGCUCGUACCUUGACGGUACCUUACGAGAAAGCCACGGCUAACUACGUGCCAGCCGCCGCAGUAA
RNAcentral lists this ribosomal RNA (524 nucleotides) under uncultured bacterium. RNAcentral describes it as "partial 16S ribosomal RNA". It matches the Rfam family "Bacterial small subunit ribosomal RNA", at positions 28 to 523 of the family's 1533-position model. The record is from RNAcentral.